UGGGGAAUCUUCCGCAAUGGACGAAAGUCUGACGGAGCAACGCCGCGUGAGUGAAGACGGCCUUCGGGUUGUAAAGCUCUUUGAUCCGGGACGAAAGAGCCUGAGGUGAAUAGCCUAAGGAAGUGACGGUACCGGAAAAGCAAGCCACGGCUAACUACGUGCCAGCAGCCGCGGUAAUACGUAGGUGGCAAGCGUUGUCCGGAAUUAUUGGGCGUAAAGCGCGCGCAGGCGGCUUCCUAAGUCCAUCUUAAAAGUGCGGGGCUUAACCCCGUGAUGGGAUGGAAACUGGGAAGCUGGAGUAUCGGAGAGGAAAGUGGAAUUCCUAGUGUAGCGGUGAAAUGCGUAGAGAUUAGGAAGAACACCGGUGGCGAAGGCGACUUUCUGGACGAAAACUGACGCUGAGGCGCGAAAGCGUGGGGAGCAAACAGG
Molecule: ribosomal RNA, 429 nt
Filed under: Fusobacteriota bacterium
Lineage: Bacteria; Fusobacteriati; Fusobacteriota
Description: Fusobacteria bacterium partial 16S ribosomal RNA
Rfam family: Bacterial small subunit ribosomal RNA
Source: RNAcentral